Molecule: long non-coding RNA, 408 nt
Filed under: Pan troglodytes (chimpanzee)
Lineage: Eukaryota; Metazoa; Chordata; Mammalia; Primates; Hominidae
Description: long non-coding RNA NONPTRT017439
Source: RNAcentral
GACAGGCUUUUCAAAUGAGUCUAACUCAUAGCUAAUUUCUGCUUAUUCACUCAGGGCUUCUUCUGAGUGAAUGAAAGAACAAAGUUCCUGAGGUUAGCUUUAUACACCUUUCCAAACCACUCAGAAAUGAAAGCAAAGAUAGCCAGAGCACUGAUCUUUUUUUCUACCAUAUUAGGAAGGAAAGAAGGAAGGAAAAAAGGAAGGGAGGAAGGAAGGAAGGAAGAAAGGAAGGGAGGAAGGAAGUGUGAUAUGCUAUAACCCAUACAUAACCCACUAGCCUGGCUCUGUGGUGAUGUAUUUCUUCAUUGUGUAGACAACUUAAUGCAAAGUCAAUCUGUUUCUAUGUACUUUUAAAUGGUAACACCGCAAUGUUCUACAGGUCAUAAUUUUUUUAUCACUACAUGUUUA